Molecule: small nuclear RNA, 102 nt
Organism: Phodopus roborovskii (desert hamster)
Lineage: Eukaryota; Metazoa; Chordata; Mammalia; Rodentia; Cricetidae
Source: RefSeq, a predicted model, not a curated record
UUGCUUUGGCAGCACAUAUACUAAAAUUGGAAUGAUGCAGAGAAGGUUAGCAUGCCCCUGUGCAAGGAUGACUCUCAAAUUAGUGAAGUAUUCUGUAUUUAA